This 716-nucleotide ribosomal RNA is filed under the name uncultured bacterium. RNAcentral describes it as "bacterial SSU rRNA". It matches the Rfam family "Bacterial small subunit ribosomal RNA", at positions 63 to 770 of the family's 1533-position model. The record is from RNAcentral.
CGAGCGGUAACACAGAGAGCUUGCUCUCGGGUGACGAGCGGCGGACGGGUGAGUAAUGUCUGGGAAACUGCCUGAUGGAGGGGGAUAACUACUGGAAACGGUAGCUAAUACCGCAUAACGUCGCAAGACCAAAGUGGGGGACCUUCGGGCCUCAUGCCAUCAGAUGUGCCCAGAUGGGAUUAGCUAGUAGGUGGGGUAAUGGCUCACCUAGGCGACGAUCCCUAGCUGGUCUGAGAGGAUGACCAGCCACACUGGAACUGAGACACGGUCCAGACUCCUACGGGAGGCAGCAGUGGGGAAUAUUGCACAAUGGGCGCAAGCCUGAUGCAGCCAUGCCGCGUGUAUGAAGAAGGCCUUCGGGUUGUAAAGUACUUUCAGCGAGGAGGAAGGCGUUAAGGUUAAUAACCUUGGCGAUUGACGUUACUCGCAGAAGAAGCACCGGCUAACUCCGUGCCAGCAGCCGCGGUAAUACGGAGGGUGCAAGCGUUAAUCGGAAUUACUGGGCGUAAAGCGCACGCAGGCGGUCUGUCAAGUCGGAUGUGAAAUCCCCGGGCUCAACCUGGGAACUGCAUUCGAAACUGGCAGGCUAGAGUCUUGUAGAGGGGGGUAGAAUUCCAGGUGUAGCGGUGAAAUGCGUAGAGAUCUGGAGGAAUACCGGUGGCGAAGGCGGCCCCCUGGGCAAAGACUGACGCUCAGGUGCGAAAGCGUGGGGAGCA